RNAcentral lists this small nuclear RNA (107 nucleotides) under Canis lupus familiaris (dog). The record is from RNAcentral. Lineage: Eukaryota; Metazoa; Chordata; Mammalia; Carnivora; Canidae.
UUGCUCGGUUCGGCAGCACAUAUACUAAAAUUGGAACGAUACAGAGAAGAUUAGCAUGGCCCCUGCUCAAGGAUGACAUGCAAAUUCGUGAAGUGUUCCAUAUUUUU